CGCGCCGCGCUCCCCGCCGGGCCAAUGGCGACGCUGUCCGCGCGCGGCCACCUGACCCCGGGAGCCGUUGUUAUUAGGCGCGGCGAGGCGGGCGGCGCGCUGCAGCGGGGUUGGGCUCUGGCCGGGAGUCGACUGAGGGAGCGAGGGCGGGGAGCGCGUGCGCGCGUGUGUGUGUGCGCGCGCGCCCGCGGCCAGUCCCGGGUCCCCGCGCUGCAGCCUCUCUCCCUCUCGCCUUCCGCCUCAGGCCAGGAUCCUGUUCAGCUCCCUCGGCCCUUCCAGCCCGCCUCCCUCGUGGGCCCUCAGAACCAGCCAAGGUGAGCUGCUCACCAUACCCACCAGUGCCUCCAAGAAAACACCUGCUUCCCGGGUUUCCCACUGAUGGGAGAAGAGGUUGGUUUCUGCAGACCAGCCCAUCCUUGGUCAGUCGGAGCCAAGACUGCACGUGUAGCCAGGCAGAGCUUUUAAAAGCAUGUCCCCACCAUAUUCUACAUUUCAGUCUCGUGCCUGUUUCUUCUUUUUCGUUUUGCUUUAUCACCUUUGUGAUGCGCUAAUGCCCGAGACACUGGCUGAAGCUUAGUGGAAUCUGUAUCAUGGAGUAUUAGCAUUCCAGCAAACAUGCAAUCCCUGUAGCUGACAAUAAAUUUGAUUUUGCACAAGUGGCAUUCCUUUAUGCUUUGCUCAUAAGGCAAUCUCUCAAGUGUAUCUUUUUUUUUUUUUUGGAGACACACACACAAAUAGUCUGGCAAAGUAAAAAUGGGUUACAUGAUGGGUUUUGUGCUCAGCAAAAAGAACUUGGACCAAGCAGAGACGCUGAUGUUCUUAUUUACAGAGGCUGCCGUCUGGGAAAUUAAUACCUGCUGUUGCGCAGUAAUUAGGAAAAUUUAGGACCCCUAGCGCUCCAACAUCUUGCAUUAAAGGUUGUAUGUCAUUGGUGUUCCCAGGAGAAUUCACUUGAUUUCUGUCAUUAAUAACAGGCAUAAGCCAGCGAGCAGUAGAAUAUGCAUUACAUUGAAUCAAUUGCUAUUUGUAUUCAUUAUGCAUGUCCUCCAUUUUGGGUCAUGAAAAAUUGAAAGACCAUUACAAGUAGAAAGAGCAUCAUGGAUUACAAAUGAUGUAACAGGAGUGGAAGUGCUAUUAAUUGGUCAAUUGUGCCCGUCAGUACAUUUAAAGUGAUUAAGGCAGAAAGAUUAGAAGGGACGGGAAUGUGCACGGGAAACAGAAGCCCAGAACACAUGCGUCCUGCAUGCCCAGAUAUAUGUGGCCAAACCCAGUGACAUCUGUUCCGAUACAGCCGCUCAACAAAUAUUUGUUGAGCACCUACCAAGUGCUCAGUGUAGCAGAAAACAAAAUGAAUGAAUCCCCUGGCUUCGGAGUCUUAUAUUCCAGUGGGGACGGGAACUAUAAAAUGGAGAGGUCAAGAUGUAGACCAUCCUCAACUUACGACAGUUCCACUUACAAUGGUGCAUCUUCCCAAUUUUUCAACAGAUGGGUUUGUGCUUUGAUCUUUCCCCAGCUGGCAAUAUCUGGCACCAUGCUGUGGAUCCUCAACAGCCACAACCGCCAGGGAGCCCCUCCAUCACAAGGAGAAAUGACCUGUGGCCUGCAGCAUGCUGUGUCACCAAGCCAGGAUGAUGGACAGGGAAGCCACGUGGAAGAAAUGGGUGUUUAUCCUGAGCAGCACUCUCGGCAGCAGUUAGAUUACAGGUGAAAAGAACGGGAAAAUGAGAAGGGCUACAUCCUCCUGCAGAGUGGUGCUUCUGAUGUGCUGGGAACGAUUCCUGGCUUUCGUCUGGAGAUAAAAGAGCCAUGUUGGCGAUCCUGCAGUCACCUCCCAGGAGGAAGCAAACCAGCUCUGAGAAAGUCCGGAUGGAGUCUGGGACCCUCACACACGAGCCGCGUGCGCUCCGGCGGAAGCUGCCCCUUCUUCCCACGAGGCGAGUGCCCAGGCAACCUCCGACACCCGGAGGAGCAGCGUCCAGGUCUCCAGGUGCCCGUCCCCCUGGCUGCCUCCUUGGAUUUCACCAAGGAUUUCACCGGUGAUGGCCUGCUGCGAUGGUCACCAUCUCAGAGAAGCCUCUUCCCUGGGAACAGCUGCAACCAGCAAGGUCAGACCUCAGGGAGACCCACCCGCUGCACCUGCGUCUCCCCGAAGCAGCGGUCUUCUGCCCCGGCUGCACCCUGGUGUCACAUGGGCUGCUGGAAAAAUGCCAAAAUCUGAGCUCUGAGCCCGGAGACCCUCACCGGGGAGAGGGGGGACACGGAUGUGGCCUGGCAGGGCUCCUGCAGCCGGGCCGGGCAGCAUGCUCCCAGAUCAGUGAUGCUGGUGGCCGAGGGGAAGGACUCGCCGUGACGGGAGAGGCUGUAUCAGUGAGUCCCCUGCACUUCCUGUUUCUCGCCCUAGAGCUGGCAUGGAGAAGGACAGGAUCCUGACGUCCUGCUCGGGGAAUGCCCGGCUUCCAGGUGCUGAGAGGCUCCGCCAGCAAACAAAGCGAGUCCCUGAGAGCAGGUCAGGAUGUGGGCGCAGUGGGCCUGGGGCUCUGCCGCCAGAGAGAGCCAGCUGGGAGAGCUCAGGGGUCCCAGGGGACCUUCAGAGCAGGAGAGUGGGGAAGCGCGACAGGAAGCCGGGCCAGGGUUCCACGGAGGCGGCGUCCUGGCCGCAGCCUGGUCUCUGCAGAGCCUGGCAGCACAAACUGACCCCACCCCCACCCCACGGCCAGUCAGAGCAGCUGCAGGUCUCUGCACUGCACAUUGGGGAGUCACUGCAGACUCUGGGAUUCCGCGAAGUCCCGGGGAGAGGGAGGGCUGUCCGCAGCACGGGGAGGUGUGUGCCCAGAGCUGGAAGGGCACCAGGGGAUCCAGCAUCUGCUACAUCCACAAGGAAGCUUUGUAUCCUCACCUACUAGCUUGGCACCCCCUUUUUUAAAAAAAGAUUUAUUUUUUUAUUUUAAAGCCAGAGUUACAGAGACAGGGAGGCAGAGAGAGAGCGAAAUUUUCAUCACUGGUUCACUCCCCAAAUGGCUGCAACAGCCAGGGCUGGGCCAGGCUGAAGCCCGAGCCUGGAACUCCAUGCAGGUUUCCCCCGUGGGUGGCAGGGGUCCAAGUACUUGGGCCAUCUUCUGCUGCUUUCUCAGGUGCAUCAGAAGGGAGCAGGAUCAUAAGCAGAGCAGCUGGGUCUGAACCGGUUCUUAUAGGGGAUGCCAGCGUCACGGCAGCAUCACAGCACCCUGCACCCCGGAGUUCUGUUGACACACCUGCACUGCCCUCCUCCCACUCACUGCUUCACUCCCAGUGCCAUUCCUGGUUUCCUUGCCGCGGUUGUUUUCUGUUUCUCGUUACCUUGGGAAUGGGAAGUCUGGGAGGUGAGGAGGAGGAAGAGGAUGUGACUGAGGGAAGUGAGACAAAGGGGCCUCUCUGACUCUGACCUGGGCAUCGGUUGGGCUCCUAGUGGUGGCCAGAGAUCAGGUCGCAGCCAGAAGGCGCCCCCAGCCUGGGAGCUGCCGCGUCACAGUCAGAAGUCUGGUGGCAGGUGCACCAGGGUCGGCUCUGUCACCCAAGGCUAUCAGGGCUCUUAGUGGCUGCUCUGCCACUCGCCUCGGCUUCCCUCAGCCCUGUGGCAGGGCUGCCACAGCCCAGCACCCUCUCCGAAACCUGGCAGGGAGGGCCUGGCUUCCCCUCAUGCCUCUUUCUCCCAUCAGAAAGGGAAGUGCUGCCCCGGCUCAGCCACAGAUGUCACUCAAGAGAAGGUUUGCUCAGGGUGGCACCACCUUCCCGUCUCUGAGUCUAAGGGAGGCUGGGGAAUGAGUGGCUGGCAUGCUGCCUGCUACUGCCACUCACUGCCACACGGGGGAGCUGCUGAUUCUCCCAUCACCCUCGCAGACCCUUCUCUGCCCUCUCUGCCUCGCCCCCUGCCCCAUGCCCCACGUCCCCGGAUUGGCCCACCCCCUGUGCCCUGGGAUUGCCGCCUGAGCUCAGCCAAUGGAAGACACCAGCAGGAGCUGAGCACGGCGGGGGCGGGGUUGGUUCUUUCCCGCUGAAGGCCACAGCCAUCCACGGAGGGGGGGGGCAGACACCACCCCUCCCGACCACCCAGGGCGCACUGCCUUUCCUGUGCCUCCCCUGCUCUUCACUGUGGAAGUUUCCAGAUCUGUCGAGAAGUCAGACACAGCCCUAGUGAGCCUACGACCCCUCGGCCAGGCACACUUCUGAUUAAUAUUUUGCCACAGCGCCUCAGUGGACAGAUAUAAAUAGAUAGGUAGGCAGAUAAAUAAUUCACGGAGCUGUACCAUUUGGGUUUUUCCUGAACCAUGCGAAGGCUUUAAAUAUUUUGACAUUUCACCCCUAAAUACCUCCACAUGCAUCUCCUAAGGCUAAAAACAUCCUGCCCCCAACACCUCAAAAUUAACAUCCAUUCAAUAAUAUCACUCGUUCUAUUUGUCCUUUAAAAAUGUUUUCUUGGUAAGCUCUGAUGUGUGGUAGUGUUUUGCUGCUGGCAGAGUCCUUAAAUAAUUAAACAUGAUUUCGGUUAAUACCACAGCCACCUUCUAAAGUCAUCAUCUCCCUCCUCUAAGUGGGGAAAAUAAGAAUCAGAGAGGGUGAGUGAGCCAACAGGGUCACACAGCUGACGAGCAGCAUGGCUGGGAGGCAUGGCUUCCAACCCUGAACCCACACACCAGGCCCAGCCCAUUCUUGCCAGAGCGCUCGGCGUUCUAGAACCUAGGCCCCCAAACGUGUCUCUCGUUUUCCCCUCUAACUUUCUCAUCCACCAAGAAUCACUGCAGCUUUGUCAGUGAUCCCCUAGGUGUGCCUGUGCCUGGUGUGGGAAAGCGUGAUUGAUGAUGUGGUGCCCUCCCCUCCCCCUCCUCCUCUCACUCCUCCCCUCCCCCUCCUCCUCAGCGGAGGAGCCUGGCCAGCCCUGCUCAGCAAUCGAGGGAGCAGGUGUCCUUGAGCCCAGCAAGGGCAGAGCCCACUUCUGUCCAUCGACAUCACGGCCGCCCUCCUCCAAGCCGACUUAACGCUUGCUGGGAAAAGGUAGCAGCCCCUUGCCUGGCCCCAGAGGCUUCGCCCCUCCUCCACUCAGCAGCCAGGGGCCCCAGGCCACACCUGCGCCCUCCAACCCGAUCCCUUCAGUAGUGUUCCCCACCUGGGAAUACGAGGCUGCUUCCAAAAGUUCAAGGAAAAUUAAAUUUAAAGAUAAGCUUAUUUUGGUGCAAAAAAACCCCAAACUCUGAAAUGCAUAGUUUUUGUUUUUUGUUUUUAGGGGCUGGCGCUGUGGCUUAGUGGGUAAAGCCGCUGCCUGCAGCGCCGGCAUCCCACAUGGGUGCCGGUUCUAGUCCCAGCUGCUCCUCUUCCGAUCCAGCUCCCUGCUAAUAUGCCAGGGAAAGCAGUAGAGGAUGGCCCAAGUCCUUGGGCCCCUGCAUCCGCGUGGGAGACCCAGAAGAAGCUCCUGGCUCCUGGCUUCAGAUUGGCACAGCGCCGGCCAUUGUAGCCAUUUGGGGAGUGAACCAACGGAUGGAAGACUGUCUCUGCCUCUGCCUCUGUGUCUGCCUCUGGCUCUCUGUAACUUGGCCUUUCAAAUAAAUAAAUAAAUCUUUUUUAAAAAAUAUUUUUUUAUUUGACAAGCAGAAUGACAUAGAGAUGGAGGCAGAGAAGGAGGGAGAGAGAGAGAGAUCUCCCAUCCAUGGUUCACUCCAUAAAUGACCUCAACAGCUGGGGCUGGGCCAGGCUGAAGCCAGGAGCUCCAACCAGGUCUCCCCGAUGGGUGCCAGGGCCCCAAGUAUUUGGGCCAUCUGCUGCUUUCCCAGGCAUAUUAGCAGGGAGCUGGAUCAGAAGCGAAGCAGCCAGGACUUGAACCAGGGCCCAUAUGUGAUGCUGGCAUUGCAGGCUGCUGUUUAACCCUCUGUGCCACAAGGCCAUCUCCCAGGCACAGUGUUUUUCCUAAUACACAUUUUUCAGAGUUUUCUGAAGACCCAUCAUAAAGCACAAGCCCUCUGCCCUGUCUGCUGUGGCCUCUGCAGCCGGCCCACCUCCAUCCCUGCUGACCUCGCCGCCUCUUCAUGCCGUGCUCCCCGCCCUACCCCAAGGUCGAGCCAUCCCUGCCUCAUUUUCUGCAAUCCUGCCCAGCUCCUCCUCCAGGCCUCUAGACCUGCCUCCUUCUCCACCUGCCAUGCUCUCUCCCCCAAUUCCACCCUGCAUGCAUCCUUCAGCCUCAGCUCAGGGACCAAAUCCUGGGCCCUGGGCGGACCCCACAGACUCUCACCCCUGCCCUGUCUCCACGCCGCCCUCAGCAUCUACACCUGGGUGCUCCUGGGUGGGGGCUUUCUCAUCAGUCCCCUCCUGCUUCCUCUUUAGGAGCAAGGAGGGGCCCCAGCCCCUGCCACCAUCCCAAGGCACGACCCUCCAGAGAGGGUGUGAGGCCCAGUGUAACCUUCUCCCCGCACCUGCUCUCACUGCACGCGGCCCUCCGUCCACCCACUCGCGGCUUUCCCGAUUACCAUCAAUUCCAUCAUCAAAUAUUUAUCGAGCAUAAUUCCCCACGUGGCAUUUUGCUGCUCACAGGUAUACCGUGGUGAGCAGAUUGCUGUCCUCGGGGAAGUUACCCGCAGGGCGGGAGAGGCCGAAUCUCACGGGCAGACAGAUACAUGAAUGUCGGGCUGUAGCCCGGGGGACAGAGCUACAGAGGACACCGAGAAGCCGGGAUGAUGGAGGAAGUGGGGGCAGAGUUCCCAGCCCAGCACCAACCUCCCUCUCCCUGCUGGAAGAAUCCCAGCUGCUGCGUCUUCCCUCCCGGCUCACACACGCGGAAUCUCAGAAGAAAUUUCCCUCACCCCCAGCUCAGGGCUGGCUCCAGCCCACGCAAGUGCGGUGCUGCCCCCUUGCCAGGAGGUGCAGGAGACAGCAUGGGCCCGAGUCAGGUCAGAGAGACCCAGGAGGGCCCCCAGGAGCAGACCUGGAGACAGGGCUUCCCGUGCUGGGGUUCCUAAGGGGAUGCCCCGGGGACCAACAAGCUUCAUGCGGUUUGUCCCCUAAGGUCGUGUGCUGGAACCUUGAUCCUCCGUGGUGGUGCUGAGAGGUGAGGGGACCUCUCAGAGUCGGGGCCUGGGGUUGGGGGGAUCCGUGAGUCACAGGGGACCCUGCCCUUGGAAGAGGUUAAGGUGAGUGCUUGUGGGGCCUGCAUCGGUUCUCAGAGUGAGCUGUUCCAAGAGACCCCGACCCCGAGGCCGCACUGGGCCUGUCCAUCCUGAGAAGUGACCUCCUCGUCCCACUCAUUCUCCUGCCGUUGGGAUGCCGUCCCCCAUGAGGCCAAGCCAGAGGCAGCCCUCAGUCUCAAACUGAACCUCCGGGACUGUGGGCUACAUACACCUCUCCUUACCACAGUAACAACAUGAGCUACCCCAGCGCGCUCCGAGGGUAGCAGAGGUAGAACCCGGGAGGGGCUGGGGAGCCCAGCGCAGGAGCGGGGCAGCUGCCUACUCCCUGGUUGGGGGCUGCCCCAGGGGACAUGAACACCAGGCACCCCCUGCCCCAGGAUUAGCACCUGCUGACGCCUGAAGCUGGCUGGAGGCUGCACUGGAGGAAUGGGAUGGGGGCAGGGGGACCCCAUCAGUGUGGGGCACUGAGAGUGUCCACUGACGUCGUUAACCCUCAGGCAAACAGCAGAGCCUGGGCCACCUCCUGGUCCAGAGACUGCCCGCACGUGCAGCCUUCCACAGCCGGAAGUGCCUCUUUCUGCUGCCUGCACAGAAAGGCCACGGAGCACCCCCAUGCUUAUUGAAACAGGGGGGAAAAGGCUUUUGCAUUUCAAAACUAUUAUUGUACUUCACUAGGCUCCCCGGGGCCUCUUGGCCAACAUUGAAAGCCAGAGCCUAACCUGAUUAAUCAACUAUUGAUCGCGCAGCCGUGCACCGUGUGGAGAGGAAGACCACCCAUACCAUCUCCUGUUUACGUCCCUGGGAAGACGGAGGCUCCCCCAGCAAGUGUGGACAGAAAGCUUGUGUCGGCACAGAAGGCAGCAAAGCCAGUGCUUCUGGGAUUGGGCCGCUGCUCCUCCAUUGGGUGGCUGACUCCGAGAGGGGCUCCCGGCCACUCUGCGCAUAUCCGCGUUUACAGCGUGUAAGUGGGACAUGUGAGGGGGUAGUGGAGCGGCUGUGGGCGCCCUGCUCCCACUCUGUCGCUCCCCCUCUUCGUGGAGGAACGACACAGGACCCUGCGCUGUUCUUUCAUCUGCUCGGCCCUCCCCGGGUUUGCUGCUGGUUCUUCCCGGGUUGGCUACCAUCCCUUCCACCUCCGUGGAAGGGCAGUUCCCCCUGGCCACAUUCCCCACUUCCGCAGGGGAGCGGCACACCGCCGGCCGGCUCUCUGGGGGCUGCACAGGUGUUCCCCUUAGAUGUUCCCCUUAGAUGUUCCUGGUGCAUGCCGUCUCUCUCCUCCUUUAUAGUCCUCCUCUGCCAAUCCCAACUCGGCUGCCCACACGCCGAGUACGCUGCUCUCCUCCAAUCAGGAGCAAGUCCUACAGUUUAUUGGCUGAACUGGAGGCAGCUGUGUAGAAGCUGUUUUCUCCUCUCCCAGCGCCAUAUUGUGGGAGAGCAGAUGCAUAGAAUAAGUCUUAAUUCCAGUAACUUAGUCUAGUCCGAGUUGCUCCCCACACCACUCCCCGACUGGGAAGGGAAUGCAAAAGAAAACAAAUCUGGGAGAAGCGUCAGUGCCGUCAGGAGUCUGGUGCUAGCCCUUGCCUGCUUCCUUUUUCCGUUGGUUCACCCCCUAAAUGGCCGCUACGGCCAGCACCCCGCACCUAUCCAAAGCCAGGAGGCAGGUGCUUCCUCCUGGUCUCCCAUGCAGGUGCAGGGCCCAAGCACUUGGGCCAUCCUCCACUGCCUUCCCGGGCCACAGCAGAGAGCUGAACUGGAAGAGGAGCAACCAGGACAGAAUCCAGCUCCCCAACGAGGACUAGAACACAGGGUGCCGGCGUCGCAGGUGGAGGAUUAGCCUAGUGAGCCAUGGUGCCGGCCUGAGUAUGUCUUUAAAAGGGCAGGGGGACAGUAAGCUGAGCUUCUUCCCAUGGAACCAGCAUCCCAUGUGGGCACCAGUUCGUGUCCCAGCUGCUCCUCUUCCAAUCCAGCUCUCUGUUAUGGCCUGGGAAAGCAGCGGAGGAUGGCCCAAGUGCUUGGACCCCUGCACCCAUGUGGCAGACCUAGAUGAAGCUCCUGGCUUCAGAUGGCCCUGCUCUGGCUGUUGCAGCCAUUUGGGGAGUGAACCAGCAGAUGCGAGAUAUCUCUCUCUAACUCUGCCUUUCAAAUAAAUGAAUCUUUUUUAAAAAAGAUUUUAUUUAUUUAUUUGAGAGGUAGAAUUACAGACAGAGAGAUGGCCACAAGAGCCAUGGCUGGGCCAGGCCAAAGCCAGAAGCCUGCAACUCCAUCUGGGUCUCCCACAUGAGUGCAGAGACCCAGGCACUUGGGCCAGCCUCUGCUACUUUCUCCAGCGCAUCAGCAGAGAGCUGGGUUGGAAGCCGAGCAGCCAGGACUCAAACUGGCGCUCUAAUAUAGGCCGCUGGUGUCGCAAGCAUAACCUGCUGUGCCACGAUGCCUGCCCCCUAACUUCUGUUUCUGGUUCGUGUAUGCUUCCAGCAAGUUGAGAUGUCAACACAACUCUACAAAGGCUCCUGUGGCACAUCCGUGAAUAGGGCAGGCGUUCUAGUGGGCGCUGGGGCAGUAGAGGGAGUCAGUCAGUGGCAUACGGUGGAAGACAGAAGGCAAGAAUCACCGUGCGAGGAAGCCUCCCCUGGGAAGGUGGCUUUGAGCAAAGCCUUGUCCAGGACGGGGAAUGAGAUACGUAGCUAGGGAGGGAGGAGCGGUUUCCAUGUGCUUGGGGUAGCCUCUGCGAACCCACCAAUGCUACAGAAACAAGUGGCUGAUAUGCAGUGAGUGGAAGGUUUGGAUGAUGAAAUGGAUGAGGCUGAGGUUUCCAGGAGCCACCUUGCCCCCCAAAAGCCACCACAUGACACACGGGGAGAGCCCAGAAUAGAGUAAAAUAAGCAAAGACAAACAGAGGCCCCUGGAUCUAGCCAUGCCUGAAGCAGCAUCCACCCACACUGUUUCAGUGCUGAGAUGACACAGUCCCUGUUUAGGUCACUUGUAACUGGAAGAGUCCUGGAUCCCAAGUGCCUAGGGCACCUGAGCUGCUAUGCCCACCAUGGGAUUCCCAGGGCACCUGCUGGCCGGUCCUAGGCAAGGGGAACUCCAGCCUCCGAGGGUGAGACCUGGCAUCCAUGCCUGCAGAGGGUGCCUGGGCAGCUGACAGGUGAGAAGGAACCUUUCAGAUUUGCAAUUUUCAAGUGUCAGAAGGAUAUGGUGCCGCUCCUGUGACACCCGGCGUCUCAGGCGGACUUGCCCCGUUUCCCAUCAACACGUCUGCUGUGGGAGGCGUGGCCUUUGCACUCCUGUGAUCUGGAACCCACAGCUGAGAAUGAGCUCCAGGCACCCGCUUCCGUGGCAAGUCACAUCCACGGGACAGACCCUUCUUCAAUUACCGCAGCUGUCCACCCGCCCGUUCCACUCGGCAAGUGCUUGGAACAGCUGCGCCGGAAGAUGCUGUGGAGACGGAGAAGCACACGCGCCAGCCCCUGAAAGAGCGGAUAAGCCAGUGGGCGCGUGGCCCUCAAGCUCUGCUCAUUCUCUGGGUCCCUUGUAAAUGCAAGACAGCAGGUGCCGGGGCCAGAGCCCCAAACGAGAGAGGGGUAGGAGCCUGUGUCCUACCUGGGUGUGCCCGCUCAACCACCUGAAGACACAGCACCCAGCACAAUGGGCAGGACCCCAGUUCUUGGAGAGCUUGUGUUCUGCUAGGGCACAAACAUAAUAAAGAGAAAUUAUUUUCUUCAAGGAUGAUUCCUGACGGCAGGUGUUUGACUAGCUGUUAAGACAAUGCUUGGGGGCCGGCGCCAUGGCUCACUAGACUAAUCCUCCACCUUGUAGUGCCAGCA
Oryctolagus cuniculus (rabbit) is the source of this 10972-nucleotide non-coding RNA. The record is from RefSeq and is a predicted model, not a curated record. NCBI's taxonomy places the organism in Eukaryota, Metazoa, Chordata, Mammalia, Lagomorpha, Leporidae.